GAGUUUGAUCUUGGCUCAGAUUGAACGCUGGCGGCAUGCCUUACACAUGCAAGUCGAACGGCAGCACGGGAGCUUGCUCCUGGUGGCGAGUGGCGAACGGGUGAGUAAUGCAUCGGAACGUAUCCUGGAGUGGGGGAUAACGUAGCGAAAGUUACGCUAAUACCGCAUAUUCUGUGAGCAGGAAAGCGGGGGACCUUCGGGCCUCGCGCUCUUGGAGCGGCCGAUGUCGGAUUAGCUAGUUGGUGAGGUAAAGGCUCACCAAGGCGACGAUCCGUAGCAGGUCUGAGAGGAUGAUCUGCCACACUGGAACUGAGUCACGGUCCA
RNAcentral lists this ribosomal RNA (324 nucleotides) under bacterium enrichment culture clone ALO1_GLFRUDD03GZG4C. RNAcentral's name for it is "bacterial SSU rRNA". It matches the Rfam family "Bacterial small subunit ribosomal RNA", at positions 9 to 333 of the family's 1533-position model. The record is from RNAcentral.